AUUCCAGCUCCAAUAGCGUAUAUUAAAGUUGUUGCAGUUAAAAAGCUCGUAGUUGGAUUUCUGUUCUCGAGGAUCGGUCCGCCUCACGGUGAGCACUGGUUUUUCUUGGGGACAUCCUCUCGAAGGCGGGUGGUGCACUUGAUUGUGUGCUGCUUGGAUUCGGGACCUUUACUUUGAAAAAAUUAGAGUGUUCAAAGCAGGCGUCGGCUUGAAUACAUUAGCAUGGAAUAAUGGAAUAGGACUUUGGUUCUAUUUUGUUGGUUUCUAGGACCGAAGUAAUGAUUAAUAGGGACAGUUGGGGGCAUUAGUAUUUAAUUGUCAGAGGUGAAAUUCUUGGAUUUAUGAAAGACUAACUACUGCGAAAGCAUUUGCCAAGGAUGUUUUCAUUA
This 389-nucleotide ribosomal RNA is filed under the name Choanoflagellata sp. Its description in RNAcentral is "partial small subunit ribosomal RNA". It matches the Rfam family "Eukaryotic small subunit ribosomal RNA", at positions 582 to 975 of the family's 1831-position model. Lineage: Eukaryota; Choanoflagellata. The record is from RNAcentral.